GAUGAAGAACGCAGCAAAAUGCGAUAAGUAAUGUGAAUUGCAGAAUUCAGUGAAUCAUCGAAUCUUUGAACGCACAUUGCGCCCGCCAGUAUUCUGGCGGGCAUGCCUGUUCGAGCGUCAUUUCAACCCUCAAGCCCCCGGGUUUGGUGUUGGGGAUCGGCGAGCCUUUCUGGCAAGCCGGCCCCGAAAUCUAGUGGCGGUCUCGCUGCAGCCUCCAUUGCGUAGUAGUAAAACCCUCGCAACUGGAACGCGGCGCGGCCAAGCCGUUAAACCCCCAACUUCUGAAUGUUGACCUCGGAUCAGGUAGGAAUACCCGCUGAACUUAAGCAUAUCAAUAAGCGGAGGA
Molecule: unclassified non-coding RNA, 346 nt
Filed under: soil metagenome
Description: partial contains 5.8S ribosomal RNA, internal transcribed spacer 2, and large subunit ribosomal RNA
Rfam family: 5.8S ribosomal RNA (bases 1-120)
Source: RNAcentral